AGUCCACGCCGUAAACGAUGGAUACUAGCUGUUCGACCAACAUUGGUUGGUUGAGUGGCUAAGCGAAAGUGAUAAGUAUCCCACCUGGGGAGUACGGUCGCAAGACUGAAACUCAAAGGAAUUGACGGGGGCCCGCACAAGCGGUGGAGCAUGUGGUUUAAUUCGAUGAUACGCGAGGAACCUUACCAGGGCUUAAAUGUAAGUUGCAUGAUUUAGAGAUAGAUCUUUCUUCGGACUACUUACAAGGUGCUGCAUGGUUGUCGUCAGCUCGUGCCGUGAGGUGUCAGGUUAAGUCCUAUAACGAGCGCAACCCCUGUCGUUAGUUGCCAGCAAGUUAAGUUGGGCACUCUAGCGAGACUGCCAGUGCAAACUGUGAGGAAGGUGGGGAUGACGUCAAAUCAUCACGGCCCUCACGUCCUGGGCUACACACGUGCUACAAUGGUCGGUACAGAGAGCAGCCACUACGCGAGUAGGAGCGAAUCUAUAAAACCGAUCUCAGUUCGGAUCGCAGUCUGCAACUCGACUGCGUGAAGCUGGAAUCGCUAGUAAUCGGAUAUCAGCCAUGAUCCGGUGAAUACGUUCCCGGGCCUUGUACACACCGCCCGUCAAGCCAUGGAAGCUGGGAGUACCUGAAGUCGGUUACCGCAAGGAGCUGCCUAGGGUAAAACUGGUAACUGGGGCUAAGUCGUAACAAGGUAACCGUA
This 704-nucleotide ribosomal RNA is filed under the name uncultured bacterium. Its description in RNAcentral is "bacterial SSU rRNA". It matches the Rfam family "Bacterial small subunit ribosomal RNA", at positions 792 to 1504 of the family's 1533-position model. The record is from RNAcentral.